CAGCAGCCGCGGUAAUACGAAGGGGGCUAGCGUUGCUCGGAAUUACUGGGCGUAAAGGGCGCGUAGGCGGACAGUUAAGUCGGGGGUGAAAGCCCGGGGCUCAACCUCGGAAUUGCCUUCGAAACUGGCUGUCUUGAGUACGGGAGAGGUGAGUGGAGCUCCGAGUGUAGAGGUGAAAUUCGUAGAUAUUCGGAAGAACACCAGUGGCGAAGGCGACUCACUGGCCCGUUACUGGCGCUGAGGCGCGAAAGCGUGGGGAGCAAACAGGAUUAGAUACCCCAGUAGUCCCUGUCUCUUAUAC
This 301-nucleotide ribosomal RNA is filed under the name uncultured bacterium. RNAcentral's name for it is "partial 16S ribosomal RNA". It matches the Rfam family "Bacterial small subunit ribosomal RNA", at positions 509 to 807 of the family's 1533-position model. The record is from RNAcentral.